UCAAAGGAAUUGACGGGGGCCCGCACAAGCGGUGGAUUAUGUGGUUUAAUUCGAUGCAACGCGAAGAACCUUACCAGGGCUUGACAUCCUGCUAACGAGGUAGAGAUACGUCAGGUGCCCUUCGGGGAAAGCAGAGACAGGUGGUGCAUGGUUGUCGUCAGCUCGUGUCGUGAGAUGUUGGGUUAAGUCCCGCAACGAGCGCAACCCUUAUUGUUAGUUGCUACGCAAGAGCACUCUAGCGAGACUGCCGUUGACAAAACGGAGGAAGGUGGGGACGACGUCAAAUCAUCAUGCCCCUUAUGUCCUGGGCUACACACGUAAUACAAUGGCGGUAAACAGAGGGAUGCAAAACUGCGAAGUGGAGCGAACCCCUAAAAGCCGUCCCAGUUCAGAUUGCAGUCUGCAACUCGACUGCAUGAAGUCGGAAUCGCUAGUAAUCGCGGAUCAGCAUGCCGCGGUGAAUACGUUCCCGGGCCUUGUACACACCGCCCGUCACACCAUGAGAGUCGGGAACACCCGAAGUCCGUAGCCUAACCGCAAGGAGGGCGCGGCCGAAGGUGGGUUCGAUAAUUGGGGUGAAGUCGUAACAAGGUAACCGU
Molecule: ribosomal RNA, 599 nt
Filed under: uncultured bacterium
Lineage: Bacteria
Description: bacterial SSU rRNA
Rfam family: Bacterial small subunit ribosomal RNA
Source: RNAcentral